Molecule: transfer RNA, 106 nt
Filed under: Neurospora sublineolata FGSC 5508
Lineage: Eukaryota; Fungi; Ascomycota; Sordariomycetes; Sordariales; Sordariaceae
Description: tRNA-Ser (CGA) (tRNA-Ser-CGA-4-1)
Source: RNAcentral
GGUCCGCUGGUGUAAUGGGCAACACAACCUAACCGUCGUAUAGUCGUUUCUGCGGAUCUUCUUAUACGCACGAGGGAAGUUACCGGUUCGAUUCCGGUGCGGAGCA